GCCUGGGUGGCUCAGUUGGUUGAGCGCCUGACUUCGGCUCAGGUCGUGAUCUCAUGGUUCAUGAGUUCGAACCCCGUAUCGGACU
This 85-nucleotide transfer RNA is filed under the name Felis catus (domestic cat). It matches the Rfam family "tRNA". Rfam says of the family: Transfer RNA (tRNA) molecules are approximately 80 nucleotides in length. Their secondary structure includes four short double-helical elements and three loops (D, anti-codon, and T loops). The record is from Rfam by way of RNAcentral. RNAcentral also lists the same sequence under 1 other name. Lineage: Eukaryota; Metazoa; Chordata; Mammalia; Carnivora; Felidae.